GAUCCUGGCUCAGGAUGAACGCUAGCGACAGGCUUAACACAUGCAAGUCGAGGGGCAGCGGGGAGUAGCAAUACUCUGCCGGCGACCGGCGCACGGGUGAGUAACGCGUAUGCAACUUGCCUAUCAGAGGAGAAUAGCUCAUCGAAAGAUGAAUUAAUGCUCCAUAAAACAGGGGUUCCGCAUGGUGAUAUAACCAAAGAUUUAUCGGUAUGAGAUGGUGAUGCGUCCG
Molecule: ribosomal RNA, 229 nt
Filed under: uncultured bacterium
Lineage: Bacteria
Description: partial 16S ribosomal RNA
Rfam family: Bacterial small subunit ribosomal RNA
Source: RNAcentral